UAUAAACAGGCCAUGGGUAAUCAACCCGAACAGCGCGCCAAUGGUGACGAAAUAAUCAAUACGUUACGCUAGAAGUUUACACGCACAUCUAUCAACCAACACACAAUGGUCCAAUUCAGCUGCUAUCGAGCGCAGUUUAUUUUUCUGCGACGCUGCAGGAUAGUGGUCCAAUGGGAAGGUCUCAGCGCGAUAAUGCAGCGUCAGUAGAGUUGAGAUAACACUAGAAAGGGUCGCCCUAAUGAGCCGCAAUGUGCGUAAUCAAGUGCACACGAACAAUGCCGGUACCGAGCGAGGUUUGACCUCCACGCCACGCCUGGCGCUCGCAAUAGAACUAACACCUGCACAAAGGCACUCGUUCACGAGGCUCGCACCACCUAGAAAUACUGAAGCAAGUCUUCCAAACGACAAUCAAACAUCUGAGCACACCCCAUUUCCUUUAUUUGGCGUUAGACUCGCACCCGUAUAGCGCGUUGAUGUGGAUUUAGUCCAUUAGAAUGUGCCAUUAGUCUCGCACUUGCAUACUAGCCCGGGCAUCAGGUUUCGCCUGAUGUAAUUACAUUGCCUUUUACGGCCGCGUGACUCCAAAGUGUUUUCGAGGGAUGUUCACGGAUAUCAAAGAAGCACGAGGAUUUCCUGAGGGUUAGUGAGCAUGCGGGUCAUGCCGUAAGGACUGGACUGAGGUUCAAAUCAUGCGAGACGAAUGUCCGAGAGAUUUUUCCUUAAACCUAUAAAAUGGCGGCAGACACGCCACUACACUUCGCGCAGAGUCUAUUAAGUUUCAGCAUUGUGAUGUCAGGCAGUAUAUACGCCUAAACUAGUGACUGUGAAAUGGCGCAGAGUCUAUCUGGUUUCAGCAGUUGUUAGGCAGUAUAUACGCCUACCCUACUAACUAUGGUCUAUCCGGUUUCAGCACUUGUGAGGCGGUAAAUACGCCUAAACUAGUGACUGUGACAUGGCGCAGAGUUUUUCUCAGUGGUUUUCAGGUCGCACCCCGUGGGGGCGGUCACUGUCUCAGCGCGUAUUCUCCGCAUGCUAUUGCCCCCUGAAGAGCAAGCACUGCUUUGCUAGCAAACCGCUAGAUUCCAGCAGACUAUAGCGCUCACCCUCGAAUAGGACCAAUACACAUGUUAUUACUCCCCGCAAUAACACAAUCAAGACUCUCUUCUAUUGCAGGGUUUCAAAUACUUUCUUAAGCAAUAAGCUAAUAUUCAACACGCAAAACCGUUAAAGUUUUGUUGCUUGAAAUGAUUGUCGUAGUCAUGAAUAUGAGAAUAUAGUCCCAAGGUGACGGGUAUUGGCCAUAAAAGCAGCAGUAACAGAUAGCCCUCCAAUCGACCCUUUACUGAUUAUUGCACUUGCAGCAAGAUCAAGUUUCCAUAAGGCUAUUAUUGACCUUCACAAUAUUAAAGAGGUACUUUCCUUGUUCGAGCAGAGAUUCUGAGAUCUAUGUUUCGAAUUAGAAAAGAUUAUAACGGAGAAUCGCUAGCUGUGGCAUGCUUGCGUCAGAUUGCAUUCGCGCAAGUAAAAAAAAAUAGGACAUUCUCUCUCGUGAAUGUGUGGAAUGUUUUCCUGUUGUCGUAAGAUUGUUUUAUUCAUAUAUCGGCAUUGUAAGUAAAUCACACACUUUCUAAAAUCAAAGACAAAAGACAUGAUGAAUACUUUGUCUUGAGAGUAUCUCGAACGCGAGUAAACGCUGGCACAGGUUCAAUCGAGACCUCUCAGUGGCCAUGUGAUCAGGCAGUCUGAAAACGUUAAUCUAAACUCACUGAUAACGCGAUGGCUGGCUGUUGCGCUCAAAAUAACCGAUAGUGCCUGCUUGAAUGAUAAUAACUCGUCGAGAUCACUUCCGAGGACGAAUUCCGCAAGAGAUACCGAAAGAUGCAAACUAGUAUUAGCCUGAGGGGUCAGACCAUGAGCGCAGUGACGGUUGCAAGGUUUGGUAUCCUAAUCGAUUUUUAGUGUACUUUGGAUAGAAACACUAGAAAUCGCCAACUAAAGAGUUUCAACUGCAGAAACUCUUAGUUUUUCUUUCACAUAUAUCAACUACUCAGCGACACUUGUUUUGAAAGGUAUUCAUUUACCUCAUGGUAUUUAUAGCACUAUUGAUGAAGGAGUAAAGGUCGUCAAUGCCUAACCAUGGGUUAUAUGUCCCAUUCUUAAAGGCGGAAACGUAUCGUCCAAAUAAACCUCACUUCUACUUAGGCCCUAUCAAACUUGGCUUGGCUCCCAAAUUCUGCAUGGGCAGGAACUCUGCUAAGAUACUUAACUCGCAUUGGGUUAUGUAGCGUCUGUACAAUCAACACUUGCUUCGCCCCCGAUCAUUUGACCUUUGCGACUUUUCUGUAAAUAUUCAACACGCAAAACAGUGAAAUAUUCAGAAGCAGGAUAUGGCAUAUUACGGGCAUAUUUUCCACGCGUAUUAACGUAGGUUCUUUAGAAACCAUUAAAAAUACAUAGCUUAACCUCGGGGGAAAUCGCUAUCUUAAGCCUGCUCAUUUCCCUGCUAAAAGAAGUCCCGAGGACACCUCUGUUGGGACAUGCACAUGUGAAAUAAAUGCCACCAUGGGGCCUUUCUUCGAGAUUUUCGGUCUACUUCAACUAUUUUGCGCUGCAGCGGUGUACAAAUCGCGCUGCUUCCAUAGAAAAGUCCUUUGUUCCCACAGUGCUAUCUGAUGUCUGCACGACAGUGGCUAAUAUCGGUGAUUUGGAAAAUGCGCAACAACUGAUAACCACCUGUCUGUCGCGGGAGGAGACAUCGGUAUACGACAUGAUAGUCACUCUAUAACGCCGCCAUGUAAUAAUCAUAGCUCUCCUUAAAGGGGAAACGGAGUGUUUCCGAUAAACAGACUGACACUUUUCCUGAGACUAGAAAUUUCUAGUGCGAAAUGCGAAACGGGACCCUAGGGAGAAAGGUUUUUAUUUCAAGGGGAAAUAAAAACAGGGGAUUUUCAACACUGGUGCCAGGAACUCAGGGUGGAUUUUUAAACAACGCUGGCUCUUACACUAAUCCUCGCAUCGUCUAGGGAUGAGCGCCGACCGGAAGUGAGUGGUCAUGAGGCGAGCACGCUCCGUCUAGAGUGCGUCCAGGGGCACGACAUAAUGAUUUGCACUUGGGCUGUGUGUGUGCACUUGUUUUUGAAAAAAAGCGCUCCGCUGCGUGUGGUUUUCCAUGCGUUCAUCGCGAGAUUAAACGAGAAAAAAAAAGCGCUGGUUAAAACAUGAUUCUAAAAAACGGCGUUCUGCAGGCAAAUAUUACAUCAAAUAUAUAGUAGAACAAGAUUGCUGUUUUAUCCUUUCUCUUUCGACGCAGUCACGAAAAAAAAAACUCCAUCCAAAGGCUAAGGUUAAAUUUGAGGCUACGCCAGGCCCCAGGGGCGAACAGGAUAGCAAAAAAAAAAAAAUAAUAAUAAUAAUAAUAGGGGCCAUAGUAAUCGAGUAAAAUUGUUGGAAGGCUGUGGUUCACUGCGACAGUCUGUGGGAUUAUCUCUUAUCGUAGAUUAGUCGGAAUAAGAGGGACUAAAACAGAGAAUAUGGCGGAAAGUGGCGGCAUACAGAAGUGACCGCAUGCUCGAAGAUCCCGCGUACUUUGCGGGCGCUCUCGGAGUGAAGCUCGAGACUCUGGUACCCCGCUCCCAAAGGCUGCAAAGUACGCUGGACCUUCGAGCAUGGAGUGACCGUGGAUUCGUUUACACGUAAGGACUCUUACAUUUGACCCAUUUCCUGUUUCCCUCUACUCUACUCUAUAAUUUACCGAAAACAAGAUUUACGUAAGCCAGGUAUGCAUGGAAGGUCUAGUGCAAACUGCAGGUGAUUGAAAAACAACUUGCACAGCACUGCGAGCGCGCGACGACACGUGAUAAGAACACUCCGCUGGCUGUGGGGACCUGGUGAGGAAUUCGUGAACAAAAUUCCCGCCAAAGACAAGUGCAGAACUCACGAGCCAUACACUCAUCAAUGCGAACUUUACCAAACUGUUUGAGGAAGACAACCAUUUUCAUUGUAGGUUGAUUGACAGUUCUCUUAAUACGCUGUGACAGAUAAUGGCUUCCCAGAUGCUAAGACCGCGCAACAGGGUUUGUGUGGCUAUGAGUAUUUUAUUUGUUUUUAUAUCGAAGUGCCGAUUUGACAGACAGGUUGAUUGACAGUUCUUUUAGUAUGCUGUGACAGCUCGAUGGUUUUCCAGAUUCUGGGCCGCGCUAGGGUUUGUGGGCAUAUUGCUUAUUUUUGUAGCGAUUCGCAUGUUUUCUGUCUCAGGAAUUCCAACCAAGAGAACCUUGCUUGUCGCAGCGCCAUGACGUAAGUCCACAUUAGAGUGGGGAUUAACGUCUGUUGUUUGUUUUUGUAGCGAAUCGCAUGUUUACUGUCUCAGGAGUUCCAACUGAGAGAAUCUGUCUCGGUGGUGUGCGACGGUGUACGGGUCACGAAGCCUGGGUUUUUGCUACCAAUGCGAAGUUGUUUUCUUAGAAAACCAAACUCGUCAAAUCCUUCUCCUAAUGGAAAAUCUCUUCUGUUUCUGAGAGGGCUAAAGUCUAAUCUCAAGUGCAUGACAGCGUCUAGGAACACACGCAGCCUUAUCUAGAAACACAGGAUGGCAAAAUGGCGGCUGUCAGAAACUCUUUAAGACCCAACUCACAAGAAUAGUCUUCCAUAGCAUGAUCAGCACUUUCUUAAUGGGGAAAUGAGGAGAGCUGCCUGCACAGAACUUGAGAACCAUCUCAAACAGUAUGACAGCUAGGCAGUCAUCACCUACAAUAGGCAGGCCUAGAAAGAGAGUGUUGAAUACAGUGGGACCUCAAUAUAAAAGUACUUGAUGUUAUUUUAGUUUAAUCAUGUAAAUAUAUAGCAAUUAUGGCAAACUAUAGCAAACUGAAAGUGAUUUCUUGUCCUAUCCUGUGGUACAGUAUAAUACAGAGAACUGAUCCUGAUUUAAUUGUUUUCCUGUUCCAUUGCCAUAUUAUCAUAUCCUCUACAGGGUUCUGUUUCAUAUACAGUGAAAGCAAAAUUGUAGAAACUGUUAGAAAAAUAAAUUAGGGAAGGAAUCACAUAGAUUUUAUGCAAGCCCUUUUCACAAACCCUGAUUUUUGGUUUGAAAAGUCGGGGCUCACCCAAGCUAUGCACUAAGUGAUGCAGGCAGGACAGCAACUAGUGACUUACUUAAUUCCUGGCAGAAGAAGUGUUUGAUUGACUUGGAUUCUGGUGUGUCAGUCUUGUGUGGCACACGCAUCCACUCAACCAUUGUGUAAAGCAAAUUCAAAUAGAUUCUAGAAAAAUGGAAAACAGUUAAAAAUAGUUUGAGCCAUCAUUUAUUAAACUUUGCAAAUUUGAGUUGGCUUACACCAUCCUGGGAGCUUGAGUAACAGUUAGAGAUAAUUGUACUGUAACAAGCAUUUCACUGUAUGUAACUUUAUAUAUAUAUAUAUAUAUAUAUAUAGUGUUGGUUUGAGAAAAAUACAAACUACAUAGGUUUCCCUACAGGUCUGUUUCGUGGUUGCCCACUCAUCAGGGGAUUUUAUAUAUAUAUAUAUAUAUUUCAUAGCAGAGUGCAUAGCAAACACUACCUGAUAUUAAUGCUAUCAACCAUGGAUAUUGAAGGCUUGUGAAGGGCUGAUGUUGCAGCCUGACUGUCACUGUAAAUCAAAGGCAAAUGUGAGUCAAGUAUCUAUAGAUCAAUCACCAACAAGGUGAUCUCACAAACUCACUCAAUCUCCAUUUGUAACAUCUGCACAAUGACAGGGAAUGUCUCAGUCUCAUAGAGAAGGAGGAUAUUCUGAUUUGUCUGCAAGAAAAGGGUUAAACCAUGAUAAUCUGGUUAAACAUUAGAUUAUAUUGUUACAGUUUUAAUUUAAAUAAUGAGAUACUGCUCGUCACAAAACAAAAUCUAAAUAUACCCACCC
This is a long non-coding RNA of Nematostella vectensis (starlet sea anemone), 5894 nucleotides long. RefSeq lists it as uncharacterized. The transcript has 2 exons. The record is from RefSeq and is a predicted model, not a curated record. Lineage: Eukaryota; Metazoa; Cnidaria; Anthozoa; Actiniaria; Edwardsiidae.